CCUACGGGAGGCAGCAGUGGGGAAUAUUGCACAAUGGGGGGAACCCUGAUGCAGCAACGCCGCGUGAAGGAAGAAGUAUUUCGGUAUGUAAACUUCUAUCGACAGGGAAGAAAAAAAUGACGGUACCUGAAUAAGAAGCCCCGGCUAAUUACGUGCCAGCAGCCGCGGUAAUACGUAAGGGGCAAGCGUUAUCCGGAUUUACUGGGUGUAAAGGGUGAGUAGGCGGCAGAGCAAGUCAUAUGUGAAAUUCCGGGGCUUAACCCCGGAGCUGCAUAAGAAACUGUUUUGCUAGAGUGCGGGAGAGGCAAGCGGAAUUCCCAGUGUAGCGGUGAAAUGCGUAGAUAUUGGGAAGAACACCGGUGGCGAAGGCGGCUUGCUGGACCGUAACUGACGCUGAGUCACGAAAGCGUGGGGAGCGAACAGGAUUAGAUACCCGGG
This 438-nucleotide ribosomal RNA is filed under the name uncultured bacterium. Its description in RNAcentral is "bacterial SSU rRNA". It matches the Rfam family "Bacterial small subunit ribosomal RNA", at positions 338 to 790 of the family's 1533-position model. The record is from RNAcentral.